AUUGAACGCUGGCGGAAUGCUUUACACAUGCAAGUCGAACGGCAGCACGGACUUCGGUCUGGUGGCGAGUGGCGAACGGGUGAGUAAUGUAUCGGAACGUGCCCAGUCGUGGGGGAUAACGUAGUGAAAAUUACGCUAAUACCGCAUACGAUCUAUGGUUGAAAGCGGGGGAUCGCAAGACCUCGCGCGAUUGGAGCGGCCGAUAUCAGAUUAGGUAGUUGGUGGGGUAAAGGCCCACCAAGCCAACGAUCUGUAGCUGGUCUGAGAGGACGACCAGCCACGCUGGAACUGAGACACGGUCCAGACUCCUACGGGAGGCAGCAGUGGGGAAUUUUGGACAAUGGGCGAAAGCCUGAUCCAGCCAUUCCGCGUGCAGGAUGAAGGCCCUCGGGUUGUAAACUGCUUUUGUACAGAACGAAAAGGUUUCUACUAAUACUAGGAGCUCAUGACGGUACUGUAAGAAUAAGCACCGGCUAACUACGUGCCAGCAGCCGCAGUAA
Molecule: ribosomal RNA, 500 nt
Filed under: uncultured bacterium
Lineage: Bacteria
Description: partial 16S ribosomal RNA
Rfam family: Bacterial small subunit ribosomal RNA
Source: RNAcentral